UACGUAGGGCGCAAGCGUUGUCCGGAAUUAUUGGGCGUAAAGAGCUCGUAGGCGGUCUGUCGCGUCUGCUGUGAAAACUCAGGGCUUAACCCUGAGCUUGCAGUGGGUACGGGCAGACUAGAGUGCGGUAGGGGGAGACUGGAAUUCCUGGUGUAGCGGUGAAAUGCGCAGAUAUCAGGAGGAACACCGGUGGGCGAAGGGCGG
This 204-nucleotide ribosomal RNA is filed under the name uncultured bacterium. RNAcentral describes it as "partial 16S ribosomal RNA". It matches the Rfam family "Bacterial small subunit ribosomal RNA", at positions 524 to 724 of the family's 1533-position model. The record is from RNAcentral.